This 122-nucleotide ribosomal RNA is filed under the name Tyto alba (common barn owl). The record is from RNAcentral. Lineage: Eukaryota; Metazoa; Chordata; Aves; Strigiformes; Tytonidae.
GCCUACGGCCAUACCACCCUGACAACGCCUGAUCUCGUCUGAUCUCGGAAGCUAAGCAGGGUCGGGCCCGGUUAGUGCUUGGAUGGGAGACCACCUGGGAUAAGAACAGUUUAAUAAUGGCA